AGAGUUUGAUCCUGGCUCAGGAUGAACGCUGGCGGCGUGCCUAAUACAUGCAAGUCGAGCGAACCGAUUAAGAGCUUGCUCUUAAGAAGUUAGCGGCGGACGGGUGAGUAACACGUAGGUAACCUGCCUAUAAGACUGGGAUAACUCCGGGAAACCGGGGCUAAUACCGGAUAACAUUUUGCACCGCAUGGUGCGAAAUU
RNAcentral lists this ribosomal RNA (200 nucleotides) under uncultured bacterium. RNAcentral's name for it is "partial 16S ribosomal RNA". It matches the Rfam family "Bacterial small subunit ribosomal RNA", at positions 8 to 202 of the family's 1533-position model. The record is from RNAcentral.